Molecule: ribosomal RNA, 429 nt
Filed under: Pseudomonadota bacterium
Lineage: Bacteria; Pseudomonadati; Pseudomonadota
Description: Proteobacteria bacterium partial 16S ribosomal RNA
Rfam family: Bacterial small subunit ribosomal RNA
Source: RNAcentral
UGGGGAAUAUUGGACAAUGGGCGAAAGCCUGAUCCAGCCAUGCCGCGUGUGUGAAGAAGGUCUUCGGAUUGUAAAGCACUUUAAGUUGGGAGGAAGGGCAGUAAGCGAAUACCUUGCUGUUUUGACGUUACCGACAGAAUAAGCACCGGCUAACUCUGUGCCAGCAGCCGCGGUAAUACAGAGGGUGCAAGCGUUAAUCGGAAUUACUGGGCGUAAAGCGCGCGUAGGUGGUUCGUUAAGUUGAAUGUGAAAGCCCCGGGCUCAACCUGGGAACUGCAUCCAAAACUGGCGGGCUAGAGUAUGGCAGAGGGUGGUGGAAUUUCCUGUGUAGCGGUGAAAUGCGUAGAUAUAGGAAGGGACACCAGUGGCGAAGGCGACCACCUGGGCUCAUACUGACACUGAGGUGCGAAAGCGUGGGGAGCAAACAGG